This 718-nucleotide ribosomal RNA is filed under the name Kimberleytrachia crucis. RNAcentral's name for it is "partial 16S ribosomal RNA". It matches the Rfam family "Bacterial large subunit ribosomal RNA", at positions 714 to 2558 of the family's 2925-position model. The record is from RNAcentral. Lineage: Eukaryota; Metazoa; Mollusca; Gastropoda; Stylommatophora; Camaenidae.
CACGAAACUGUGUGAGCUAACUAAGAUUGAAACUAUGUUGCAAAAUAGAUCAGAAGUUAUAGUUAGGGGUGAAAGGCUUAUCAAACUCAGUGAUAUCUUGAUUUUUCCAAAAAGUAUUAAGUAUGUUAGAAAGUUUAAAGCGAUAAGGUUUUAAAUAACCAUGAAAUAUGAUUAGUUAAGUAUGUCGAUAUAAAAGUCUACAAAAAUGUAAAUUAAUAUUUAUAAUUGAGAGUUAUGGUGUAUAGGAGAAUAUUUGUCAAUCUUUUCCGAAGUUAAUAAUGUUAAUAUUAGUAAUAUUGAGGUACCAAUAGUGAAUUCGGCAUUAAGCUUUCAACUGUUUACCAAAAACAUAGCUGCGUGAUAGUACACGCAGUAAUUUCUGCUCAAUGAAUAUUUAAAUAGCCGCAGUACCUUGACUGUGCAAAGGUAGCGUAAUCAAUUGUCUUUUAAUUAAAGACGGGUAUGAAGGAAUAUAUGGGGGCUUUCUUUACCAUUGGCAGUAGUAGAAUUUGCUUAUCGAGUGAAAAUACUCGUAGAUAAAUAAUAGACGAGAAGACCCUUGAAAUUUUAAGCAGUUUUUUGUUGGGGCAACAUAGUAGCAGAUAACCUACUGAAAUUAACUAGAAAUUUUGUAGUGUGAAUAAAUUACUCUAGGGAUAACAGCGUAAUCUUUGAUUGUUUGCGACCUCGAUGUUGGAUUAGGGAAUUGUCGCUAGAA